GUUUCAGAACGACUCUCGGCAACGGAUAUCUCGGCUCUUGCAUCGAUGAAGAACGUAGCGAAAUGCGAUACUUGGUGUGAAUUGCAGAAUCCCGUGAACCAUCGAGUCUUUGAACGCAAGUUGCGCCCGAAGCCCUUAGGCUGAGGGCACGCCUGCCUGGGUGUCACCAA
Molecule: ribosomal RNA, 170 nt
Filed under: Arachis pintoi
Lineage: Eukaryota; Viridiplantae; Streptophyta; Magnoliopsida; Fabales; Fabaceae
Description: 5.8S ribosomal RNA
Rfam family: 5.8S ribosomal RNA
About the family: 5.8S ribosomal RNA (5.8S rRNA) is a component of the large subunit of the eukaryotic ribosome. It is transcribed by RNA polymerase I as part of the 45S precursor that also contains 18S and 28S rRNA. Functionally, it is thought that 5.8S rRNA may be involved in ribosome translocation.
Source: RNAcentral